GGGUCAGUGGGUUGGUCGUGCCACCGGUACGUACUGGUCUCACUGAUCCUCCUUCCUGAAGAACCGUAAUGCCAUUAAUUUGGUGUUGCGGGGAAACAGGACUGUUACUUUGAAAAAAUUAGAGUGUUUAAAGCAAGCUAACGCUUGAAUACAUUAGCAUGGAAUAAUGAAAUAGGACGAUCGAUCCUAUUUUGUUGGUUUCUAGGAUUGACGUA
RNAcentral lists this ribosomal RNA (215 nucleotides) under Glomeromycotina sp. RNAcentral's name for it is "partial small subunit ribosomal RNA". The stretch from base 53 to 215 matches the Rfam family "Eukaryotic small subunit ribosomal RNA", at positions 700 to 864 of the family's 1831-position model. The record is from RNAcentral. Lineage: Eukaryota; Fungi; Glomeromycota.